UCAAUAAUCUAUGCGAUUUCUAACUUUGUAGAAUGAAACGGAGUGGUGGGGAUACUGUGCCACUUGGGGGAAAUAUAAGGCCGCCGCCUUUGACAGUGGGUCCAGUCAUGCCACGAAUUUCCACCACUCAAAUCUCAAUCCUCGCGAAUGAAACGGAGUGGUGGGGAUACUGUGCCACUUGGGGGAAAUAUAAGGCCGCCGCCUUUGACAGUGGGUCCAGUCAUGCCACGAAUUUCCACCACUCAAAUCUCAAUCCUCGCGGUACGCACGCCCCGCGAGUAAUAGAGAAGAGUAAAAAUAAGCACAACAAUCGAUCACUCAUUCAUUCAAUAAUCUAUGCGAUUUCUAACUUUGUAGAAUGAAACGGAGUGGUGGGGAUACUGUGCCACUUGGGGGAAAUAUAAGGCCGCCGCCUUUGACAGUGGGUCCAGUCAUGCCACGAAUUUCCACCACUCAAAUCUCAAUCCUCGCGGUACGCACGCCCCGCGAGUAAUAGAGAAGAGUAAAAAUAAGCACAACAAUCGAUCACUCAUUCAUUCAAUAAUCUAUGCGAUUUCUAACUUUGUAGAAUGAAACGGAGUGGUGGGGAUACUGUGCCACUUGGGGGAAAUAUAAGGCCGCCGCCUUUGACAGUGGGUCCAGUCAUGCCACGAAUUUCCACCACUCAAAUCUCAAUCCUCGCGGUACGCACGCCCCGCGAGUAAUAGAGAAGAGUAAAAAUAAGCACAACAAUCGAUCACUCAUUCAUUCAAUAAUCUAUGCGAUUUCUAACUUUGUAGAAUGAAACGGAGUGGUGGGGAUACUGUGCCACUUGGGGGAAAUAUAAGGCCGCCGCCUUUGACAGUGGGUCCAGUCAUGCCACGAAUUUCCACCACUCAAAUCUCAAUCCUCGCGGUACGCACGCCCCGCGAGUAAUAGAGAAGAGUAAAAAUAAGCACAACAAUCGAUCACUCAUUCAUUCAAUAAUCUAUGCGAUUUCUAACUUUGUAGAAUGAAACGGAGUGGUGGGGAUACUGUGCCACUUGGGGGAAAUAUAAGGCCGCCGCCUUUGACAGUGGGUCCAGUCAUGCCACGAAUUUCCACCACUCAAAUCUCAAUCCUCGCGGUACGCACGCCCCGCGAGUAAUAGAGAAGAGUAAAAAUAAGCACAACAAUCGAUCACUCAUUCAUUCAAUAAUCUAUGCGAUUUCUAACUUUGUAGAAUGAAACGGAGUGGUGGGGAUACUGUGCCACUUGGGGGAAAUAUAAGGCCGCCGCCUUUGACAGUGGGUCCAGUCAUGCCACGAAUUUCCACCACUCAAAUCUCAAUCCUCGCGAAUGAAACGGAGUGGUGGGGAUACUGUGCCACUUGGGGGAAAUAUAAGGCCGCCGCCUUUGACAGUGGGUCCAGUCAUGCCACGAAUUUCCACCACUCAAAUCUCAAUCCUCGCGGUACGCACGCCCCGCGAGUAAUAGAGAAGAGUAAAAAUAAGCACAACAAUCGAUCACUCAUUCAUUCAAUAAUCUAUGCGAUUUCUAACUUUGUAGAAUGAAACGGAGUGGUGGGGAUACUGUGCCACUUGGGGGAAAUAUAAGGCCGCCGCCUUUGACAGUGGGUCCAGUCAUGCCACGAAUUUCCACCACUCAAAUCUCAAUCCUCGCGGUACGCACGCCCCGCGAGUAAUAGAGAAGAGUAAAAAUAAGCACAACA
Molecule: long non-coding RNA, 1690 nt
Organism: Vespula vulgaris
Lineage: Eukaryota; Metazoa; Arthropoda; Insecta; Hymenoptera; Vespidae
Exons: 3
Source: RefSeq, a predicted model, not a curated record